CUUGUUUGUAGGUCACUGGUCUCAGGGAGCUGAAAGAUCUAGUAAAGGGGAGUUUGACUGCAGUCAUCAGAGGGAAAAUCUCAGGGGUUUCAGGACUCAAGGUGUGUAUAUCCUCUCUGCUGUGAUUGGGACACUAUACUGUCC
This 144-nucleotide long non-coding RNA is filed under the name Mus spicilegus (steppe mouse). RNAcentral describes it as "lncRNA (ENSMSIG00000020797.1)". The record is from RNAcentral. Lineage: Eukaryota; Metazoa; Chordata; Mammalia; Rodentia; Muridae.